AUUCAUACCACAGUCAAAACAGAAUGAACCGGUUUGAGUAAAGCCAUUUGAAAGGCAAGAAGCAUCUUGCUUUCUCAUUUGGUGCAAUUCAUUUAACUGUCAUUCUGAGGUUAGCUAAGCAUACCUCCUUUUGCGUGGACCUGCUGAUGAACAAGGAAGCCUCCUCCAUGUUCUGUGGGUGUAGACCAUUCACAGCCACUAUACGGUCUCCAUGGUUAAAUAAACAUCCCAGUCGGCAAGGACCAGUCCACUGUGAGACACUAACAUGUGGAGAACAGACAACAAAUGAAUCAUAAGGGAUAUACAAUUACUGUUACUGUUAACAGAACGGAAAACAGGAUUGCAUUUAUGGCAUUGCCCUCUGGAAAUGGCAGAACGUAGUCCGGGGGCUGAAGAUCUGAUACUGAAUCCUUUAUGUCCUGGAUGAUAUUCUCCCAGGUUCAUUAAUACCUGAAUUAUUAAAUCUGCAGCUAUUUGGUAGCUUUGCCUUCCCAGAGAAUCGG
This 503-nucleotide long non-coding RNA is filed under the name Gallus gallus (chicken). Lineage: Eukaryota; Metazoa; Chordata; Aves; Galliformes; Phasianidae. The record is from RNAcentral.